GGUGACGAGUGGCGGACGGGAGUGUAAUGUCUGGGAAACUGCCCGAUGGAGGGGGAUAACUACUGGAAACGGUAGCUAAUACCGCAUAACGUCGCAAGACCAAAGUGGGGGACCUUCGGGCCUCACACCAUCGGAUGUGCCCAGAUGGGAUUAGCUAGUAGGUGGGGUAAUGGCUCACCUAGGCGACGAUCCCUAGCUGGUCUGAGAGGAUGACCAGCCACACUGGAACUGAGACACGGUCCAGACUCCUACGGGAGGCAGCAGUGGGGAAUAUUGCACAAUGGGCGCAAGCCUGAUGCAGCCAUGCCGCGUGUAUGAAGAAGGCCUUCGGGUUGUAAAGUACUUUCAGCGGGGAGGAAGGCGAUAAGGUUAAUAGCCUUGUCGAUUGACGUUACCCGCAGAAGAAGCACCGGCUAACUCCGUGCCAGCAGCCGCGGUAAUACGGAGGGUGCAAGCGUUAAUCGGAAUUACUGGGCGUAAAGCGCACGCAGGCGGUCUGUCAAGUCGGAUGUGAAAUCCCCGGGCUUAACCUGGGAACUGCAUUCGAAACUGGCAGGCUAGAGUCUUGUAGAGGGGGGUAGAAUUCCAGGUGUAGCGGUGAAAUGCGUAGAGAUCUGGAGGAAUACCGGUGGCGAAGGCGGCCCCCUGGACAAAGACUGACG
This 662-nucleotide ribosomal RNA is filed under the name Enterobacter sp. B10. Its description in RNAcentral is "bacterial SSU rRNA". It matches the Rfam family "Bacterial small subunit ribosomal RNA", at positions 87 to 745 of the family's 1533-position model. Lineage: Bacteria; Pseudomonadati; Pseudomonadota; Gammaproteobacteria; Enterobacterales; Enterobacteriaceae. The record is from RNAcentral.